RNAcentral lists this transfer RNA (82 nucleotides) under bacterium. RNAcentral describes it as "tRNA-Leu". It matches the Rfam family "tRNA". From Rfam's summary of the family: Transfer RNA (tRNA) molecules are approximately 80 nucleotides in length. Their secondary structure includes four short double-helical elements and three loops (D, anti-codon, and T loops). RNAcentral also lists the same sequence under 1 other name. The record is from RNAcentral.
GCCGAAGUGGCGGAAUUGGUAGACGCGCCAUCUUGAGGGGGUGGUGUCUUCGGAUGUGCGGGUUCGAGUCCCGCCUUCGGCA